UGCGUAGGUGGUUAAAUAAGUUAGGUGUGAAAGUCCCGGGCUUAACCUGGGGAUUGCGCCUGAUACUGUUAAGCUAGAGUACUGUAGAGGAGAGUGGAAUUUCCGGUUGUAGCGGUGAAAUGCGUAGAGAUCGGAAGGAACACCAGUGGCGAAGGCGACUCUCUGGACAGUUACUGACACUGAGGCACGAAAGCAUGGGUAGCAAACA
This 208-nucleotide ribosomal RNA is filed under the name uncultured bacterium. RNAcentral describes it as "partial 16S ribosomal RNA". It matches the Rfam family "Bacterial small subunit ribosomal RNA", at positions 568 to 774 of the family's 1533-position model. The record is from RNAcentral.